GCAGAACGCGAAGAACCUUACCAGGGCUUAAAUGCAGUCCGACAGGAUUGGAAACAGUCCUUUCUUCGGACGGAUUGCAAGGUGCUGCAUGGUUGUCGUCAGCUCGUGCCAUGAGGUGUCAGGUUAAGUCCUAUAACGAGCGCAACCCCUGCCGUUAGUUGCCAGCGAGUAAAGUCGGGAACUCUAGCGGGACUGCCGGUGCAAACCGUGAGGAAGGUGGGGAUGACGUCAAAUCAUCACGGCCCUUACGUCCUGGGCCACACACGUGCUACAAUGGCAGGUACAAUGGGCAGCCACUGCGCAAGCAGGCGCGAAUCCACAAAACCUGUCUCAGUUCGGAUCGGGGUCUGCAACUCGACCCCGUGAAGCUGGAAUCGCUAGUAAUCGGAUAUCAGCCAUGAUCCGGUGAAUACGUUCCCGGGUCUUGUACACACCG
RNAcentral lists this ribosomal RNA (436 nucleotides) under uncultured bacterium. RNAcentral's name for it is "bacterial SSU rRNA". It matches the Rfam family "Bacterial small subunit ribosomal RNA", at positions 954 to 1392 of the family's 1533-position model. The record is from RNAcentral.